GUCGAACGGCAGCGCGAGANAGCUUGCUCUCUUGGCGGCGAGUGGCGGACGGGUGAGUAAUAUAUCGGAACGUGCCCAGUAGCGGGGGAUAACUACUCGAAAGAGUGGCUAAUACCGCAUACGCCCUACGGGGGAAAGGGGGGGAUCGCAAGACCUCUCACUAUUGGAGCGGCCGAUAUCGGAUUAGCUAGUUGGUGGGGUAAAGGCUCACCAAGGCAACGAUCCGUAGCUGGUUUGAGAGGACGACCAGCCACACUGGGACUGAGACACGGCCCAGACUCCUACGGGAGGCAGCAGUGGGGAAUUUUGGACAAUGGGGGAAACCCUGAUCCAGCCAUCCCGCGUGUAUGAUGAAGGCCUUCGGGUUGUAAAGUACAAUUUGCAGAGAAGAAAGGUAUCUCCUAAUAAGAGAUACUGCUGACGGUAUCUGCAGAAUAAGCACCGGCUAACUACGUGCCAGCAGCCGCGGUAAUACGUAGGGUGCAAGCGUUAAUCGGAAUUACUGGGCGUAAAGCGUGUGUAGGCGGUUCGGAAAGAAAGAUGUGAAAUCCCAGGGCUCAACCUUGGAACUGCAUAAUUAACUGCCGAGCUAGAGUAUGUCAGAGGGGGGUAGAAUUCCACGUGUAGCAGUGAAAUGCGUAGAUAUGUGAAGGAAUACCGAUGGCGAAGGCAGCCCCCUGGGAUAAUACUGACGCUCAGACACGAAAGCGUGGGGAGCAAACAGGAUUAGAUACCCUCGUAGUCCACGCCCUAAUCGAUGUCAACUAGCUGUUGGGGCCGUUACGGUCUAGUAGCGCAGCUAACGCGUGAAGUUGAGCGCCUGGGGAGUACGGUCGCAAGAUUAAAACUCUAAGGAAUUGACGGGGACCCGCACAAGCGGUGGAUGAUGUGGAUUAAUUCGAUGCAACGCGAUUAACCUUACCUACCCUUGACAUGUCUGGAAAGCCGAAGAGAUUUGGCCGUGCUCGCAAGAGAACCGGAACACAGGUGCUGCAUGGCUGUCGACAGCUCGUGUCGUGAGAUGUUGGGUUAAGUCCCGCAACGGGCGCAACCCUUGUCAUUAGUUGCUACGGAAGNAGCACUCUAAUGAGACUGCCGGUGACAAACCGGAGGAAGGUGGGGAUGACGUCAAGUCCUCAUGGCCCUUAUGGGUAGGGCUUCACACGUCAUACAAUGGUCGGGACAGAGGGUCGCCAACCCGCGAGGGGGAGCCAAUCUCAGAAACCCGAUCGUAGUCCGGAUCGCAGUCUGCAACUCGACUGCGUGAAGUCGGAAUCGCUAGUAAUCGCGGAUCAGAAUGUCGCGGUGAAUACGUUCCCGGGUCUUGUACACACGCCCCGUCACUCCAUGGGAGUGGGUUUCACCAGAAGUAGGUAGCCUAACCGUAAGGAGGGCGCUUACCACGGUGGUGAAUCAUGACUGGGGUGAAGU
This 1431-nucleotide ribosomal RNA is filed under the name Alcaligenes faecalis. RNAcentral describes it as "bacterial SSU rRNA". It matches the Rfam family "Bacterial small subunit ribosomal RNA". The record is from RNAcentral. Lineage: Bacteria; Pseudomonadati; Pseudomonadota; Betaproteobacteria; Burkholderiales; Alcaligenaceae.